AAUUGAGAAGCGAAUGUUGCAUUUAGUUUCGGCCUAAACUUUGGUGAUUUUACUUCACCCUUAAUUA
This 67-nucleotide transfer RNA is filed under the name Plesionika ortmanni. RNAcentral describes it as "tRNA-Arg". The record is from RNAcentral. Lineage: Eukaryota; Metazoa; Arthropoda; Malacostraca; Decapoda; Pandalidae.